This 460-nucleotide ribosomal RNA is filed under the name uncultured bacterium. RNAcentral describes it as "partial 16S ribosomal RNA". It matches the Rfam family "Bacterial small subunit ribosomal RNA", at positions 338 to 795 of the family's 1533-position model. The record is from RNAcentral.
CCUACGUGAGGCAGCAGUGAGGAAUAUUGGUCAAUGGGCUUACGCCUGAACCAGCCAAGUCGCGUGAGGGAAGACUGCACUAUGGGUUGUAAACCUCUUUUGUCAGGGAGCAACGCCGGCUACGUGUAGCCGGACUGAGAGUACCUGAAGAAAAAGCAUCGCCUAACUCCGUGCCAGCAGCCGCGGUAAUACGUAGAAGGCGAGCGUUUGCCGGUUUUAGUGGGUUAAAAGGGUGCGUAGGCGGGAUGCCAAGUCAGCGGUAAAAGCGCGGGGCUCAACCUCGCUCCGCCGUUGAAACUGGCGUUCUUGAGUGGGCGAGAAGUAUGCGGAAUGCGUGGUGUAGCGGUGAACUGCAUAGAUAUCACGCAGAACUCCGAUUGCGAAGGCAGCAUACCGGCGCCCAACUGACGCUGAAGCACGAAAGCGUGGGUAUCGAACAGGAUUAGAUACCCGAGUAGUC